CUACGGGUUGCAGCAGUGGGGAAUCUUGCGCAAUGGGCGAAAGCCUGACGCAGCAACGCCGCGUGCGGGAUGAAGGCCUUCGGGCUGUAAACCGCUUUCAGCAGGAACGAAAAUGACGGUACCUGCAGAAGAAGGAGCGGCCAACUACGUGCCAGCAGCCGCGGUGACACGGUAGGCUCCAAGCGUUGUCCGGAUUUAUUGGGCGUAAAGGGCUCGUAGGCGGUUGAGUAAGUCGGGUGUGAAAACUCUGGGCUUAACCCGGAGACGCCAUCCGAUACUGCUCUGACUAGAGUUCAGGAGGGGAGUGGGGAAUUCCUAGUGUAGCGGUGAAAUGCGCAGAUAUUAGGAGGAACACCGGUGGCGAAGGCGCCACUCUGGACUGAAACUGACGCUGAGGAGCGAAAGCAUGGGUAGCAAACAGGAUUAGAUACCCCGGUAGUC
This 441-nucleotide ribosomal RNA is filed under the name uncultured bacterium. RNAcentral describes it as "partial 16S ribosomal RNA". It matches the Rfam family "Bacterial small subunit ribosomal RNA", at positions 339 to 795 of the family's 1533-position model. The record is from RNAcentral.